RNAcentral lists this ribosomal RNA (253 nucleotides) under uncultured bacterium. Its description in RNAcentral is "partial 16S ribosomal RNA". It matches the Rfam family "Bacterial small subunit ribosomal RNA", at positions 524 to 776 of the family's 1533-position model. The record is from RNAcentral.
UACAGAGGUCUCAAGCGUUGUUCGGAUUCAUUGGGCGUAAAGGGUGCGUAGGCGGCGCGGUAAGUCGGGUGUGAAAUCUCGGAGCUUAACUCCGAAACUGCAUUCGAUACUGCCGUGCUUGAGGACUGGAGAGGAGACUGGAAUACUUGGUGUAGCAGUGAAAUGCGUAGAUAUCAAGUGGAACACCAGUGGCGAAGGCGAGUCCCUGGACAGAUCCUGACGCUGAGGCACGAAAGCUAGGGGAGCAAACAGG